CUUCUGCACUAUCUUUACUUUCUUACAUUCUGUCCCCCCAGACUUUUCUUUCUCCUCUGCUGUAAUUUGAGCUCGUAUGAGGGAAAACUCAGAUGAGUGGAGAACCUUUUCCCAUGGUUCAGUUUUGCUGGGUUAAAUCUGUGGGAUGGACUUUACAGGAGCAAGUCUGGCAAACCCAGUGAGUGCUUACUUAGUUCCCUGUGAUCUGAGGCAUCAGGGUGUGUGCAGGAGGCAGAACACCCUUCUGCAGACCAGAGGAAGAGCAGGCAGCCCCAGCCUCUGCCUGAGGAGCCUGCUGCUCACGGGGCAGCUGCACAGAUACCAUCUGAAGCUUUCCUCUGAGGAGGUUUAGACUACAAGCCUCCUUUUCCAGAGGCAGCCCACCACCCCACAGGAGCCUCCCUGGCCCAGUGCAAAGCUGUCUUAAUGGGAGCUGGAGUGCACAUUUGGAGAAAGUACCUGUUUGUGGAACCAAGAUUUUAAACAAGGGUGGCAAUUAAUGCAGAGCUGGAGUUUGUGUAUGCUAGAUAUGUUUCCACUGGGAAAUGAACUGAGUGAGAAAUUAUUAAUUUCACAUGGCCCACCUGAUGCUCAACACCAAGUUUCUUUUUUCUGUCGGUUGCACAAAAUUUAUACAUUUUAAUGCGGUACACUCUUCAAGAAAUCAGCAAAGAAUAUUCCAUCCAAGUUGUACAUUUUGCAUCCUGUCACAUCCAACGAAGGACUCUGAAACUUUGCAGCUUAAUAUUCAAGAGUUUCCUUAUGAAACACCAGUAAGUACUACAGAUGAUGUCAAGAGCCCAAGCUACAAUGGAGCACGUCUGACUCACUUCACUGAAAUACUGCUUUUGAUUUAACCUCUCUAGUAUCUGCUGUGUCCUGAAUUCAAGAAUAAAUGGACAGAACUGUCCCUGGGAGGGAAGAACUCAGAGGUACCUUCCAGGUACCCCACCAGCAGUGGGAUACAGCAGAUUACUUCAAAUUGGAUUAAUUCUGGCACCUGAAUGUCACUGCCCAUAUGGUAGUCUGGUGUUUCAGCUCCUCUUACAGGCAGUGAAGUCAGCUGGAGCCUGCCAAACUCUUCAGCUCAUACCCAGACUCAGUUCAGCUGCCCAGAUGUGGGUGCCUAGCACUGUGCAAGGGCCCCUGGACAUUCUGUCUGGACCAAAGACGUGGGAUCAUUCUCUUGGCCCUGGGCUAUGCCUGAGAGUUAACCGGGGGAAUUUCAAACACUCUAGGUCACCUCAAACAGCACUGGACACCUACCUAUGUGUGGUGAGCUGAAUCAGCCCCCUGUGCCUGAAUAACCAGCUGGAUCACCCUCCCAUGGAUCCAUUACCUGUGGCUCAGCUUGGUGCCCACUCACAGUGUGCAGGGGUGCUUGUGGAGCCAGGGUCUGGCAAGCAGGACAGGGGUAUGUGCCCUUCAGAAACAAAAACUGCAUGGCAGGGCAGAUCUGUGACUCUUGAUUGAUGCAGCUGAGGGCAUCUGCCUCCUCCCCUGCAUCUCCCCAGAGGCACCAGGGACACCUGUAAGCUGUGAUAAAGCACUCCCACUUCAAUGUCCAAACCUGAAGGUGAAUCUCUCCCUAUCCAUCAGCUAAGAAACCAAACCUUUGUUGCAGGGAUCAUUUUAACUGCAUCCUAGAUCAGGGCUGGGAAAGUUGAGAACAUGAGUAUGGGCAGCUACUAGGUAUGUCCUCAUCUGUCAAGUGGCAUUUUAGGGCAGUGUUUUCCUGUCAUCCUGUGAACUUCAGCUCAGUCUAGAGUGUCUCUGAAGUCUCUACAGGCCAUGCUCACACAAAAACAAUGGACUAGUUAUUAAACAGCUUUCAACCCUUAAAUUUGUAAUUUCAAAAUCAUAGAGGAGACAGAAAAUUGCUUAAUGCUAAGCAGGGACUCCAGUUUGGUAGGUAUGACUUUAAAACAAGCACAGGCAAAGAAGAAAGGAGAAGUAUGCCAGCUUAGUACUGACAUAUACAUUCUCAUAUUUUAAACAAAAAAAAUUACAAAGGAAUAAAAUAAAGUAUUAAUAGUAAACAAAAAUAAACUUCACAGAGUAAUUGGAGUCUGAUAACUUCCCAAGAACCUGAACAUUUUAAUAGCUCUCAUUACACAGUCUCUGAAGAAUCCAUGAUAAAUUCAUUUUUACUAACCCCUCCUUUAAUGGAAAAGAAAUGUUAAAGAAUCAAGAGCAUUUAAGACCUCAUAACAGCUUUCUGACAAGACUGUUUUAAUGUCAACAAUUUUAUCGUGAGUGAGAGCUAUAUAAAAAUGAUGAUAGAAUCCACUGUUUCUUUUUUUAAAAAUGAUUGUUUAAAAUACCAGCUUCAUUAAAACAGCUGCAGAUAUCCUGUAAGAUUCAUACUGAAAUUACUCCCAGGCCAAUUUCUCAUUUGAAUCUCCCAAACUGACACUUUUCCAAAGAGACUGCAAAGUCUGCGUGAUAUUUGUUCAUUUUUAA
Passer domesticus (house sparrow) is the source of this 2463-nucleotide long non-coding RNA. RefSeq lists it as uncharacterized. The record is from RefSeq and is a predicted model, not a curated record. Lineage: Eukaryota; Metazoa; Chordata; Aves; Passeriformes; Passeridae. The transcript has 3 exons.